Molecule: ribosomal RNA, 753 nt
Filed under: uncultured bacterium
Lineage: Bacteria
Description: bacterial SSU rRNA
Rfam family: Bacterial small subunit ribosomal RNA
Source: RNAcentral
GAUGAACGCUAGCGGCAGGCUUAACACAUGCAAGUCGAGGGGUAACGUGAGUGCUUGCACUUGACGACGACCGGCGAACGGGUGCGUAACGCGUAUAGAAUCUACCUUGUACAGGAGGAUAGCCCAGAGAAAUUUGGAUUAAUACUCCAUAAUGUUAUGUAGUGGCAUCAUUAUAUAAUUAAAGAUUUAUUGGUACAAGAUGACUAUGCGUCCUAUUAGUUAGAUGGUAAGGUAACGGCUUACCAUGGCAUCGAUAGGUAGGGGGUCUGAGAGGAUUAUCCCCCACACUGGUACUGAGACACGGACCAGACUCCUACGGGAGGCAGCAGUGAGGAAUAUUGGACAAUGGGCGAGAGCCUGAUCCAGCCAUGCCGCGUGCAGGAAGACUGCCCUAUGGGUUGUAAACUGCUUUUAUACAGGAAGAAACCUACUUACGUGUAAGUAGCUGACGGUACUGUAAGAAUAAGCACCGGCUAACUCCGUGCCAGCAGCCGCGGUAAUACGGAGGGUGCAAGCGUUAUCCGGAAUCAUUGGGUUUAAAGGGUCCGCAGGCGGUCAAUUAAGUCAGAGGUGAAAUCUCACAGCUUAACUGUGAAACUGCCUUUGAUACUGGUUGACUUGAGUCAUAUGGAAGUAGAUAGAAUAAGUAGUGUAGCGGUGAAAUGCAUAGAUAUUACUUAGAAUACCGAUUGCGAAGGCAGUCUACUACGUAUGCACUGACGCUCAUGGACGAAAGCGUGGGGAGCGAACAGG